RNAcentral lists this ribosomal RNA (492 nucleotides) under uncultured bacterium. RNAcentral describes it as "partial 16S ribosomal RNA". It matches the Rfam family "Bacterial small subunit ribosomal RNA", at positions 28 to 507 of the family's 1533-position model. The record is from RNAcentral.
AUUGAACGCUGGCGGCAUGCCUUACACAUGCAAGUCGAGCGGUAACAGGCCUUCGGGUGCUGACGAGUGGCGAACGGGUGAGUAAUGCAUCGGAACGUACCCAGAGGUGGGGGAUAACGCAGCGAAAGCUGUGCUAAUACCGCAUGUGAUCUGAGGAUGAAAGCGGGGGACCGAGCAGCAAUGUUUGGCCUCGCGCCUUUGGAGCGGCCGAUGUCGGAUUUGCUAGGUGGUGGGGUAAAGGCCUACCAAGGCGACGAUCCGUAGCUGGUGUGAGGGGACGACCCGCCACACUGGGACUGGGACACCGCCCCGACUCCUUCGGGAGGCAGCAGUGGGGAAUUUUUGACAAUGGGCGCAAGCCUGAUCCAGCAAAGCCGCGUGCGGGAAGGAGGCCUUCGGGUUUUAAACCGCUUUUGGCAGGAACGAAACGGUGUCCGCUAAUACCGGGCGCUAAUGACGGUACCUGCAGAAUAAGCACCGGCUAACUACGUG